UGGAGAUCCACUUCAAUUCACCAUUUAAGAUCAACAAUUCACAAAUCAAACCACGAUUCAGGCAUCCAAACGUAUCUUAUACAUGAACAAAUGAAAUAUUCUUUUUAAAUGUUUCGUUUUUAACAUAGCUGCAUGUGUUGACAACACAAAAGUAAAUGUAUUCGUCUAUGGAGGCUAAUACUCAAAACCAAGGUAGAAAAACGCCCUACAGACUGAUCUGGAUGGAUCGUCUUUGAAACAAGUCCAACUGAGGCUCAGUAGUGGGCGUGGCCUCCACAUACCCAUGUGACUUCACUUCAACGACUGUUUCUGCUCUCCUGGGGGAUCUCCUCUCACACCUAGACCAAAGCAUCCACCAACACUGAACCGUCUUGGUGUACCCUGGUGGAUGGGCCCAGACAGGAUGUCCCAGAUGUGGAUCCGGGUCUGAGGAUCCAAAACAUUCUCACUCCAAAUCCGUCACAUAUCGACGUGUGGUUAAGGACUCCUCCUCGUCUCUUUUGGACAUUCUGGGAGUUUUUUUGCAGGGUUUUAUGCUAGAAAGGUUCCUCCAGUAGGUGGAGACCGUCAUGUCUGUCCCGCCCCCAAACCUUCACCCCCCUUUGAGGUGAAAGCAGAGACAUCUGCAUCCUUCUCAUGAUAACACUGAAGAACCCGACAGUGUCACACAUUAAAUAUGAUCCUCUUCCUGUUUCUGUUGUUCCCACCAACGAACGGCGCUCCUUCCAGCUACAGCGUCCAUCAAACGCCUCCUUCCCUCAUCAAGAGUCCCGGUCAGUCGGUUCUGGGCCAGAUCUACUGUUCACACAGCAUCCCGAACUAUGACAACAUCCUCUGGUACAAGCAGGACGGCGGGGGGGCUCUGAAGUACCUGGGAUACCUGAACCUGCAGCACCUGUAUCCAGAGAACGACGUGAAGGAGAUCCUCAGCUUCAGCGGAGACGGCAGAACGCACUCCAACCUGAGCUUUGUUAGCGUGUCCCAGAACGACUCGGCCGUGUAUUUCUGUGCUGCUAGGAGAGCACAGUACAGUAGAUCCCCAAGCAGGCGGUGCAAAAACCCCGCAGACAUGCAGCCCCGCCCCGCCACAGCAGGAACCAGGGGUGACGGCUGACGCACCACUUCCUGCUUCUUCAUGGAGAUGAAGGCAUCACAGAACCCUCCACAUCACUGAGUUAACAACUCUUUCUUUUAUGAGUUUUUAAUAAAUAUUUUGAGUUUUCAUGUUUUCUGGUUUUCUUAAUCUCACAUUAAAGAGGAGCUGAAAAAAACUCACAUUUUUCUUUGGGACUGUAAAAGCAUCCGAUCAUUCUUCUUUAUGACUUUUAGAAAAUUCAGAAACAGAUUUUAAUCCCUGGACAACUGACAAGGUCAAAUUUAGUCAAAUGUGGCCACUGUAGACAUUUAUUUUUAUAUUUAUUUAUUUGUUUUAAUGUUUAUUUGUAUUUAUAUGUAUUAAUUUUAAAAAUACCGGUAUUUAUUAAGAUUUCUUUAUUUGUUUU
This is a non-coding RNA of Oryzias melastigma (Indian medaka), 1502 nucleotides long. The record is from the annotation of a RefSeq genome assembly. Lineage: Eukaryota; Metazoa; Chordata; Actinopteri; Beloniformes; Adrianichthyidae.